RNAcentral lists this ribosomal RNA (496 nucleotides) under uncultured bacterium. RNAcentral describes it as "partial 16S ribosomal RNA". It matches the Rfam family "Bacterial small subunit ribosomal RNA", at positions 30 to 523 of the family's 1533-position model. The record is from RNAcentral.
AUUGAACGCUGGCGGAAUGCUUUACACAUGCAAGUCGAACGGUAGAGGGGGCAACCCCUUGAGAGUGGCGAACGGGUGAGUAAUGUAUCGGAACGUGCCCAGUCGUGGGGGAUAACGUAGUGAAAAUUACGCUAAUACCGCAUACGAUCUAUGGAUGAAAGCGGGGGAUCGCAAGACCUCGCGCGAUUGGAGCGGCCGAUAUCAGAUUAGGUAGUUGGUGGGGUAAAGGCUCACCAAGCCAACGAUCUGUAGCUGGUCUGAGAGGACGACCAGCCACACUGGAACUGAGACACGGUCCAGGCUACUACGGGAGGCAGCAGUGGGGAAUUUUGGACAAUGGACGCAAGUCUGAUCCAGCCAUUCCGCGUGCAGGACGAAGGCCUUCGGGUUGUAAACUGCUUUUGUACGGAACGAAAAAGCUCUUAUUAAUACUAGGAGUCCAUGACGGUACCGUAAGAAUAAGCACCGGCUAACUACGUGCCAGCCGCCGCAGUAA